Molecule: ribosomal RNA, 207 nt
Filed under: uncultured bacterium
Lineage: Bacteria
Description: partial 16S ribosomal RNA
Rfam family: Bacterial small subunit ribosomal RNA
Source: RNAcentral
AGCGCAGACGGUUUAUUAAGUCUGAUGUGAAAGCCCGGAGCUCAACUCCGGAAUGGCAUUGGAAACUGGUUAACUUGAGUGCAGUAGAGGUAAGUGGAACUCCAUGUGUAGCGGUGGAAUGCGUAGAUAUAUGGAAGAACACCAGUGGCGAAGGCGGCUUACUGGACUGCAACUGACGUUGAGGCUGAAAGUGUGGGGUAGCAAACA